Molecule: long non-coding RNA, 1696 nt
Organism: Scleropages formosus (Asian bonytongue)
Lineage: Eukaryota; Metazoa; Chordata; Actinopteri; Osteoglossiformes; Osteoglossidae
Source: Ensembl
GGGGAUGGAGCGCGAGCGGUGGGGAGCUCUGUUGGAGAGCGUCUCCGCAAUGGCGGCCGGUGGCUCGGUGGCCCUGCUCUGCCAAGCAGAGUGCCAGCCGCCCUUCGCCAGCAGGAGCUCUCCGGCGGCUGGGCUCGGCCUGGUGGGGGGGGGGGUCUUGGAAGGGAGGAGGAGGAGAGAAAUGAGCGGAAUCUUCCCGCGUUGGGAACCGCAGCCCGCCGGUGACACUCCGACUCGUCUCGACGAGAAGUGAGUGUGAAGUGUCGGCGGCGAACGCGCUCCUCCUCCGGCCUGCGGGAGACACGACGUGCCGCGAUGUGUCUCCUGACUCAGCCGUGCUUUUUUCUUUUUUUUGCUCCCCAUCACAUCCACACACGCGGUCCACUCACAUACAGCAGCCGCAUCGAGACGAUCGUUGCGGGGGAAAUAUAUUUAACUACGUGAGUCGGCGACGCACCCGUUCCGCUAUUCUCUCCGUCAGUAUUUCGGGCUGAGGGGAACCACUUCCCCGCGGCGCUCCAUCUACACCGACAUCAACAGGUCAUUCCGGGACAAAUGCAGCAGCAGCGGGGGGGUGAGGCAGACGGAACCAGCGCGGAGCGCGCGGGGGGGGGGCGUUGCGAGUCGCGACACAACACACGACUUGAAGCACUUGACUGUCGCGCGCGAGUGAUGCCCACUCGUCUCUAAAAUCAUCUUCCGAACUCCACUGCCGAAAUGGAGCAUGCAUAUUUAAUUAACAUAAUGAAAGUUUUUCGUAGCUACGUUGUUCCUAAGUACUCGCAAGCUGCGGCUGCUGGAGGCCGGGUGCGAGGAAGCCGGGAAGUGGUUAAAGUUUUGUUGGUGUCGUUCCUGCGAGCCCAUCCCCCAUCACACACACCUUCCCCAAAACAAUACCCCCAAAAAAUCUCUCCCGAUCGACCCGAUUUGGGCUCGGCCGCCGGGCCACCGAGCCAAAGCCGCCCUUCCAGACUGGGCCACAGUAACCUACCCACGAUCGACCCCGAGGGAAUAGCGCGAAAGACGGCGGCCAUUCAUUGUGAGCAAAGGCACAACGCCGAGUGCAGAAUCAUCGAGCGCAUCACACGAAGAGGAUGCAGAGCGCAGAGUCCCCGACCGACAGACCAGUACCCCCAUCCCUCUAAUAUAAUGUCAAGAGUUUUUGGGUAUUUGUGAGAAUCAGCUGUUCUUAGUGACCGCAACAGAACACACACACACACACAUUUUCUGAACCGCUUGUCCCAUACGGGGUCGCGGGGAACCGGAGCCUAACCCGGCAACACAGGGCGUAAGGCCGGAGGGGGAGGGGACACACCCAGGACGAAACGCCAGUCCGUCGCAAGGCACCCCAAAUGGGACUCGAACCCCAGACCCACGGGAGAGCAGGACCCGGUCCAACCCACUGCACCACCGCGCCCCCUACCGCAACAGAACCCACUUCUUAUUUCGUGUGUAAACGGUUGUUAGUCGAAGAUACAUACAAUAUCCAUCGGCAACAACUGCUUGUCCUGAGCGGGCUCAUGGUGAGCCGGAGCCUUACCCGCCAGCACAGGGCGCAAGCACAGGGUGCUAGGCCGAAGGGGAGAGAAAACACCCUGGGCGGGACGCCAGUCCAUCGCAAGACACCCCAAGCAAUACUCGAACCCCAGACCUACCGCGCCCCCAUAUGUCGAAUAAACUAUGUUAAAUGCCUCCA